This 276-nucleotide ribosomal RNA is filed under the name uncultured bacterium. RNAcentral's name for it is "partial 16S ribosomal RNA". It matches the Rfam family "Bacterial small subunit ribosomal RNA", at positions 77 to 353 of the family's 1533-position model. The record is from RNAcentral.
CAAACUGGAGAUGGCGACCGGCGCACGGGUGAGUAACACGUAUCCAACCUGCCGAUAACUCGGGGAUAGCCUUUCGAAAGAAAGAUUAAUACCCGAUGGCAUAAUAGAGCCGCAUGGUUUGAUUAUUAAAGAAUUUCGGUUAUCGAUGGGGAUGCGUUCCAUUAGGCAGUUGGUGGGGUAACGGCCCACCAAACCUUCGGUGGAUAGGGGUUCUGAGAGGAAGGUCCCCCACAUUGGAACUGAGACACGGUCCAAACUCCUACGGGAGGCAGCAUG